RNAcentral lists this ribosomal RNA (497 nucleotides) under uncultured bacterium. Its description in RNAcentral is "partial 16S ribosomal RNA". It matches the Rfam family "Bacterial small subunit ribosomal RNA", at positions 28 to 507 of the family's 1533-position model. The record is from RNAcentral.
GAUGAACGCUGGCGGCGUGCCUAAUACAUGCAAGUCGAGCGAACAGACGAGGAGCUUGCUCCUCUGACGUUAGCGGCGGACGGGUGAGUAACACGUGGAUAACCUACCUAUAAGACUGGGAUAACUUCGGGAAACCGGAGCUAAUACCGGAUAAUAUAUUGAACCGCAUGGUUCAAUAGUGAAAGACGGUUUUGCUGUUACUUAUAGAUGGAUCCGCGCCGCAUUAGCUAGUUGGUAAGGUAACGGCUUACCAAGGCAACGAUGCGUAGCCGACCUGAGAGGGUGAUCGGCCAGACUGGAAGUGAGACACAGUCCAGACUCCUACGGGAGGCAGCAGUAGGAAAUCUUCCGCAAUGGGCGAAAGCCUGACGGAGCAACGCCGCGUGAGUGAUGAAGGUCUUCGGAUCGUAAAACUCUGUUAUUAGGGAAGAACAAAUGUGUAAGUAACUAUGCACGUCUUGACGGUACCUAAUCAGAAAGCCACGGCUAACUACGUG